Molecule: ribosomal RNA, 2921 nt
Filed under: Staphylococcus aureus M0399
Lineage: Bacteria; Bacillati; Bacillota; Bacilli; Caryophanales; Staphylococcaceae
Description: bacterial LSU rRNA
Rfam family: Bacterial large subunit ribosomal RNA
Source: RNAcentral
UUAAGUUAUUAAGGGCGCACGGUGGAUGCCUUGGCACUAGAAGCCGAUGAAGGACGUUACUAACGACGAUAUGCUUUGGGGAGCUGUAAGUAAGCUUUGAUCCAGAGAUUUCCGAAUGGGGAAACCCAGCAUGAGUUAUGUCAUGUUAUCGAUAUGUGAAUACAUAGCAUAUCAGAAGGCACACCCGGAGAACUGAAACAUCUUAGUACCCGGAGGAAGAGAAAGAAAAUUCGAUUCCCUUAGUAGCGGCGAGCGAAACGGGAAGAGCCCAAACCAACAAGCUUGCUUGUUGGGGUUGUAGGACACUCUAUACGGAGUUACAAAGGACGACAUUAGACGAAUCAUCUGGAAAGAUGAAUCAAAGAAGGUAAUAAUCCUGUAGUCGAAAAUGUUGUCUCUCUUGAGUGGAUCCUGAGUACGACGGAGCACGUGAAAUUCCGUCGGAAUCUGGGAGGACCAUCUCCUAAGGCUAAAUACUCUCUAGUGACCGAUAGUGAACCAGUACCGUGAGGGAAAGGUGAAAAGCACCCCGGAAGGGGAGUGAAAUAGAACCUGAAACCGUGUGCUUACAAGUAGUCAGAGCCCGUUAAUGGGUGAUGGCGUGCCUUUUGUAGAAUGAACCGGCGAGUUACGAUUUGAUGCAAGGUUAAGCAGUAAAUGUGGAGCCGUAGCGAAAGCGAGUCUGAAUAGGGCGUUUAGUAUUUGGUCGUAGACCCGAAACCAGGUGAUCUACCCUUGGUCAGGUUGAAGUUCAGGUAACACUGAAUGGAGGACCGAACCGACUUACGUUGAAAAGUGAGCGGAUGAACUGAGGGUAGCGGAGAAAUUCCAAUCGAACCUGGAGAUAGCUGGUUCUCUCCGAAAUAGCUUUAGGGCUAGCCUCAAGUGAUGAUUAUUGGAGGUAGAGCACUGUUUGGACGAGGGGCCCCUCUCGGGUUACCGAAUUCAGACAAACUCCGAAUGCCAAUUAAUUUAACUUGGGAGUCAGAACAUGGGUGAUAAGGUCCGUGUUCGAAAGGGAAACAGCCCAGACCACCAGCUAAGGUCCCAAAAUAUAUGUUAAGUGGAAAAGGAUGUGGCGUUGCCCAGACAACUAGGAUGUUGGCUUAGAAGCAGCCAUCAUUUAAAGAGUGCGUAAUAGCUCACUAGUCGAGUGACACUGCGCCGAAAAUGUACCGGGGCUAAACAUAUUACCGAAGCUGUGGAUUGUCCUUUGGACAAUGGUAGGAGAGCGUUCUAAGGGCGUUGAAGCAUGAUCGUAAGGACAUGUGGAGCGCUUAGAAGUGAGAAUGCCGGUGUGAGUAGCGAAAGACGGGUGAGAAUCCCGUCCACCGAUUGACUGAGGUUUCCAGAGGAAGGCUCGUCCGCUCUGGGUUAGUCGGGUCCUAAGCUGAGGCCGACAGGCGUAGGCGAUGGAUAACAGGUUGAUAUUCCUGUACCACCUAUAAUCGUUUUAAUCGAUGGGGGGACGCAGUAGGAUAGGCGAAGCGUGCGAUUGGAUUGCACGUCUAAGCAGUAAGGCUGAGUAUUAGGCAAAUCCGGUACUCGUUAAGGCUGAGCUGUGAUGGGGAGAAGACAUUGAGUCUUCGAGUCGUUGAUUUCACACUGCCGAGAAAAGCCUCUAGAUAGAAAAUAGGUGCCCGUACCGCAAACCGACACAGGUAGUCAAGAUGAGAAUUCUAAGGUGAGCGAGCGAACUCUCGUUAAGGAACUCGGCAAAAUGACCCCGUAACUUCGGGAGAAGGGGUGCUCUUUAGGGUUAACGCCCAGAAGAGCCGCAGUGAAUAGGCCCAAGCGACUGUUUAUCAAAAACACAGGUCUCUGCUAAACCGUAAGGUGAUGUAUAGGGGCUGACGCCUGCCCGGUGCUGGAAGGUUAAGAGGAGUGGUUAGCUUCUGCGAAGCUACGAAUCGAAGCCCCAGUAAACGGCGGCCGUAACUAUAACGGUCCUAAGGUAGCGAAAUUCCUUGUCGGGUAAGUUCCGACCCGCACGAAAGGCGUAACGAUUUGGGCACUGUCUCAACGAGAGACUCGGUGAAAUCAUAGUACCUGUGAAGAUGCAGGUUACCCGCGACAGGACGGAAAGACCCCGUGGAGCUUUACUGUAGCCUGAUAUUGAAAUUCGGCACAGCUUGUACAGGAUAGGUAGGAGCCUUUGAAACGUGAGCGCUAGCUUACGUGGAGGCGCUGGUGGGAUACUACCCUAGCUGUGUUGGCUUUCUAACCCGCACCACUUAUCGUGGUGGGAGACAGUGUCAAGCGGGCAGUUUGACUGGGGCGGUCGCCUCCUAAAAGGUAACGGAGGCGCUCAAAGGUUCCCUCAGAAUGGUUGGAAAUCAUUCAUAGAGUGUAAAGGCAUAAGGGAGCUUGACUGCGAGACCUACAAGUCGAGCAGGGUCGAAAGACGGACUUAGUGAUCCGGUGGUUCCGCAUGGAAGGGCCAUCGCUCAACGGAUAAAAGCUACCCCGGGGAUAACAGGCUUAUCUCCCCCAAGAGUUCACAUCGACGGGGAGGUUUGGCACCUCGAUGUCGGCUCAUCGCAUCCUGGGGCUGUAGUCGGUCCCAAGGGUUGGGCUGUUCGCCCAUUAAAGCGGUACGCGAGCUGGGUUCAGAACGUCGUGAGACAGUUCGGUCCCUAUCCGUCGUGGGCGUAGGAAAUUUGAGAGGAGCUGUCCUUAGUACGAGAGGACCGGGAUGGACAUACCUCUGGUGUACCAGUUGUCGUGCCAACGGCAUAGCUGGGUAGCUAUGUGUGGACGGGAUAAGUGCUGAAAGCAUCUAAGCAUGAAGCCCCCCUCAAGAUGAGAUUUCCCAACUUCGGUUAUAAGAUCCCUCAAAGAUGAUGAGGUUAAUAGGUUCGAGGUGGAAGCAUGGUGACAUGUGGAGCUGACGAAUACUAAUCGAUCGAAGACUUAAUCAA